RNAcentral lists this ribosomal RNA (750 nucleotides) under Cladophialophora sp. FVR1. RNAcentral's name for it is "bacterial SSU rRNA". It matches the Rfam family "Eukaryotic small subunit ribosomal RNA", at positions 638 to 1313 of the family's 1831-position model. Lineage: Eukaryota; Fungi; Ascomycota; Eurotiomycetes; Chaetothyriales; Herpotrichiellaceae. The record is from RNAcentral.
UUUUGGUGUUCAGGACGCCGUAUGAUAUAGGGUAUCGGGGGCUCAGUAUUCAUCGUCCAGGUGAAAUUCUUGGAUUGAUUGAAGACUAACUACUGCGAAAGCAUUUGCCAGGAUGUUUUCAUUAAUCAGUGAACGAAAGUUAGGGGAUCGAAGACGAUCAGAUACCGUCGUAGUCUUAACCAUAAACUAUGCCGACUAGGGAUCGGACGGUGUUAGUAUUUUGACCCGUUCGGCACCUUACGAGAAAUCAAAGUUUUUGGGUUCUGUUCUAUUUUGUUGGUUUCUAGGACCGCCGUAAUGAUUAAUAGGGAUAGUCGGGGGCAUCAGUAUUCAAUCGUCAGAGGUGAAAUUCUUGGAUUGAUUGAAGACUAACUACUGCGAAAGCAUUUGCCAAGGAUGUUUUCAUUAAUCAGUGAACGAAAGUUAGGGGAUCGAAGACGAUCAGAUACCGUCGUAGUCUUAACCAUAAACUAUGCCGACUAGGGAUCGGACGGUGUUAGUAUUUUGACCCGUUCGGCACCUUACGAGAAAUCAAAGUUUUUGGGUUCUGGGGGGAGUAUGGUCGCAAGGCUGAAACUUAAAGAAAUGACGGAAGGCACCACCAGGCGUGAGCCGCGCAAAAGCCUGCGGCUUAAUUUGACUCAACACGGGGAAACUCACCAGGUCCAGACACAAUAAGGAUUGACAGAUUGAGAGCUCUUUCUUGAUUUGUGGGUGGUGUGCAUGGCCGUUCUUAGUGUGAGUGAUUUG